UCAGAACUCCGAAGUUAAACGUGCUUGGGCGAGAGUAGUACUAAGAUGGGUGACCUCUUGGGAAGUCCUCGUGUUGCACCCC
This 82-nucleotide ribosomal RNA is filed under the name Ricinus communis (castor bean). Lineage: Eukaryota; Viridiplantae; Streptophyta; Magnoliopsida; Malpighiales; Euphorbiaceae. The record is from RNAcentral.